UGUGUGUGUGUGUGUGUGUGUGUGUGUGUGUGUGUGUGUGUGUGUGUGUGUGUGUGUGUAAAGUUUAUACUACAGAAACUGCAGCUGAUUGCUACUGACGGCAUCAUAAUGACUCACUUAUACCAAGAUUUUAUUUGCAUGAAUCUGGUUUAAAGCAAGUUUGCCAUUAUAUUCAAAACUGGAAAACUGCCAGCCAAUUACAUUCGCAGAUGAACACCACAAAUGGGUUUGUAUCAUCAUGUUUGAAAGUGUACUCUGUGUAUGUAAUGUGAGACUGUGGGAAGGAUUUUCAUAAACUUCAAAACUCCACAUUCAGGGUAAAGAAGCUCUAAGGAUUACAUUUAUAUCCAAAUUACUAGUUGGUUGGAUGGGACACCUUUUAACAAAGAGUGUACUCUAGUGUCUAAUUUUUCAAAAGGCAGAGUUUAUAUUGGUAAUGGGUCUCCUUUAACCUUAGUCAUAAUCAUUUCAUAAGCUAACCAGUUAGCUUUUGCUAGUGAAUUAAGUUAGUUAGUGAAGGCAACAUAACGGCCGAUGAACAUAACUCUAAAAAACAGAAAACAAAGUUCAAGGCACCAAGAGCCUCAUUAACAUGCUUCUUAUUUAUGCCAACACCACUACCUUGUUAUGCGCACUUGUGCUCUUUCCAAGAAAAAAAAAAAAGUUGGCUCUCCGAGUCCAUUAUUGCUAAAAAAGACCUUUCAAGUAUGUACAAUGCCAGAGGCAUCCGACAAAAAAAUCAGCAUUUGAUAGCCCGGGAUAAGAAAGUGUUUGACUGCUAACAACACUAACAUAUUAACACAGCAUUAUGAUUAUUGUCAUAAUCGCUAGAGGUGAGUCACUAUGUGAAAUAUUGAUCAGUUUUUACGUAUGUCUAUGGUUGGGGCCUGUACGAAGCAAGGUCAUCAUUCCCAGAAUGUAUUUUCCUUAUGUGGCUUCACUUACCCUAACAUGGUCAAUAAAGCUAAGCAGUCACUUGAAGGUGGCUACAAAUUUGAUGAGUCAACCCCAACAAGUAAGCCAGUCCAAAAAAAUAACAGUGGAAGUGAAUCUGGGGUCCACAGAAGCAAUAUCCAAUGUUCAAAACAAAAUAAGAACAUUCAGAUAAAGGGGUGGUACUGGCAGCAUAUGACCAACCUAAACAUAAACAUGUCUAUUGGCAGAAGAGCUGCUUAUUUUUCUGAGUCAAAGCCAUUAUACACUGAGCGUGUUGCAAAAGAAACACCACCGAAAUUCAGAAUUUUUCUGAUUCAAACUUGUCAUGCACAGUGUGCACACGCUGAAAAUGUUGUGCUUUUGCUGAAAAUGUGUUCUUAAAAACUGCCCUG
Molecule: long non-coding RNA, 1328 nt
Organism: Astatotilapia calliptera (eastern happy)
Lineage: Eukaryota; Metazoa; Chordata; Actinopteri; Cichliformes; Cichlidae
Source: Ensembl